UCGCCAGAGAGACACGCCGCCGCCGCCGCCGUCUUCCUCCCCUUUCCCACGACCACAGAGUGCUGCAUCUAUUCACCAGCCCCCCUCCUCUUUGUGGCUGUUUGUGCCCAGCUCGCAAAAGGGACCCAUGCACCGUUUUCGGGACUUGAGAGCGGUGCCGCAAGAGCAAUAAAACCCCAAGAUGAAGUCGAAGCAGGCGCCUCGCGCCUCUGCCAAGCAGACACCAUCGGUUUCCAAGAAGAAGGACCACACGACCAACAAGGUAAUCGCCAUGUCCACCGCCUCCCCCUCCACCUCCGACUUGGACGAAGUAGCAUCUCUGUUCAACACCAUCAAGCAAACCAAAGCGCAGAAGUACGGCAGUGCCGCUGCCGCUCAGCCACCAUCCCUGCAGAGGGGGGCUGGAGGAGCGUCGGUGGAGGCGCAUAAUAUUAAGCGCUCGUCAACUGGCGCUGGAGCGCCUCCUCCGUCGUCCUCGCCAGGGGCUCAGGCGAAACCCGUUCACGAUGGACUCUACCACGCACCAGAGAAGUCGGUGCAGAUGAGUGACAACCAGUUCUUCAGCGGCACUUGGCUGAGGGAGGAUCGCACAGUCGCGCCCACUGCCACCACCUCCUCUGCUGUCCCAAGCACGGCAUCUCCCGAGGCGUCCGAGAAGCUGCUGCGCAGGGAGGGCGUGCAUCGCAUUGUGUCCAUACAGGAGCUUUCCAAGAUGUUAUCGCAUAACGCCAGGGCGGGCACCACUCCCAACUGCCCGUUCGACUGCGACUGCUGCUUCUGAUCGGCCAGCCGGAAGGCUUGGGUGCGAGUGUGUGUGUGAGAGGCUGCAUAGCUGAAGGGAAAGAAAUAACGCGCGUUGUGGCUGCGCGCAAGUAUGUUUCGCUUGGACCUCUCCGCAGCUACAGAGACAAGCGUGCAUCACGCGCCGCGCGUCUGGUGCGCUGAUCAAUCAGGGUAAAGACGUUCACUUCAGCGACAUCAGCGAAGGAAAAAAA
RNAcentral lists this unclassified non-coding RNA (995 nucleotides) under Leishmania donovani. Its description in RNAcentral is "gene:unknown". Lineage: Eukaryota; Euglenozoa; Kinetoplastea; Trypanosomatida; Trypanosomatidae. The record is from RNAcentral.